RNAcentral lists this ribosomal RNA (205 nucleotides) under uncultured Carnobacteriaceae bacterium. Its description in RNAcentral is "partial 16S ribosomal RNA". It matches the Rfam family "Bacterial small subunit ribosomal RNA", at positions 134 to 334 of the family's 1533-position model. Lineage: Bacteria; Bacillati; Bacillota; Bacilli; Lactobacillales; Carnobacteriaceae. The record is from RNAcentral.
GAGCGGGGACAACACUCGGAAACGGAUGCUAAUACCCCAUAGGUGGAUUGGUCGCAUGACGAAUUCAUUAAAGGUGGCUUUGCUACCACUCAUGGAUAGCCUCGCGGCGUAUUAGCUAGUUGGUAAGGUAAUGGCUUACCAAGGCAGUGAUACGUAGCCGACUUGAGAGGGUGAUCGGCCACACUGGGACUGAGACACGGCCCAG